Arachis ipaensis is the source of this 687-nucleotide non-coding RNA. The record is from RefSeq and is a predicted model, not a curated record. NCBI's taxonomy places the organism in Eukaryota, Viridiplantae, Streptophyta, Magnoliopsida, Fabales, Fabaceae.
GGUGGGCUGCGAUUCCGGAGUCUUCGGUGUAUUGCAGCAGCGGCUACUGUGGCCGGGACGAGGAAAUAUGUUCCGUUAUAGGUAUAGGGAUAGGUUUGAUCUUCAUGAGAAUAGAAUUGGAGAUGAUUGGAAUGCCAAGGCAUUGAGCAGAACGAAGUCAGAUUUCAACAUCAACCCUAGUUCGGAUAGGCUUGAGCUUAAUUCCUAAACUUGCCGGAGAGAGGAGUUCUGGCGCUAUGCAUGAAUGAUUACCAGAGGGGCUGGCUGGAUUCGAGCCAUUGCUUGAUGAUGAAGCAAAAUAUUGUUGUCUUUGGUAGCCAAAACCCAUCAAGAAACACUCAAGUGGAAAUAUCAUGGAAUUUGGAUGCUCUUCUGUUACUAGUGAGCCACAAGCUUGAACCUGAGCAGGUAAGCAACAUCGUUAUGCUACAUUCUAAUAUUGUUUCCCUUUGUCUUUCUCAACUAGAUUUUCAUUUCCUCGUUCAAGAGUGAUGUUCCUAAAGUAGUUCUCAAAAAGAUUAAUUUUGCCUAUCAAAUUCAUCCAGCAGUCAAUUGGGUUUGACAGGGGUGACAGGUGAAAAAUUGUCAACAAAGAACGAUGGUAAUAAUUUUGGGUAUAUCAGAUGAAUAAUUAAUCUCUUUAUGAGUUAUUUUGUCUGCAAAGCAACAUUUCAAUGACUACUUUAA